This 607-nucleotide ribosomal RNA is filed under the name uncultured bacterium. RNAcentral's name for it is "bacterial SSU rRNA". The stretch from base 1 to 524 matches the Rfam family "Bacterial small subunit ribosomal RNA", at positions 338 to 873 of the family's 1533-position model. The record is from RNAcentral.
CCUACGGGAGGCAGCAGUGGGGAAUAUUGGGCAAUGGAGGAAACUCUGACCCAGCGACGCCGCGUGCGGGAUGAAGGCCUUCGGGUUGUAAACCGCUUUCAGCAGGGAAUAAGCGCAAGUGAAGGUACCUGCAGAAGAAGCACCGGCUAACUAUGUGCCAGCAGCCGCGGUAAUACAUAGGGUGCAAGCGUUGUCCGGAAUUAUUGGGCGUAAAGAGCUCGUAGGUGGUUUGUUACGUCGGAUGUGAAAAUCAGGGGCUCAACCCCUGACCUGCAUUCGAUACGGGCAAGCUGGAGUUUGGUAGGGGAGACUGGAAUUCCUGGUGUAGCGGUGGAAUGCGCAGAUAUCAGGAGGAACACCGAUGGCGAAGGCAGGUCUCUGGGCCAAUACUGACACUGAGGAGCGAAAGCGUGGGGAGCGAACAGGAUUAGAUACCCUGGUAGUCCACGCCGUAAACGGUGGGCACUAGUUGUGCGAACCUUCCACGGUUUGUGCGACGCAGCUAACGCAUUAAGUGCCCCGCCUGGGGAGGUACGAGUCGCGAGAUUAAACUUAAAUAGAAGUUAGUACGGCGUGAGACGUGCGACGACGACGACGAGGGAGGAGG